This 422-nucleotide long non-coding RNA is filed under the name Ictidomys tridecemlineatus (thirteen-lined ground squirrel). RNAcentral describes it as "lncRNA (ENSSTOG00000034555.1)". The record is from RNAcentral. Lineage: Eukaryota; Metazoa; Chordata; Mammalia; Rodentia; Sciuridae.
GAGGAAAUCACAGAUCUGGGCCUUUUCAUAGUCUCACUUUAAACUCUGCCUUUGGACUUUGAACUAUUCCCUUGGACCCUCAGUUUAAUGACUUCUAUCCACAAGCACAACUCUUAUCUGCAGCAAGAAAUAUUGAAUAUGGGCUCCCGCAGAGGCUCCACGGGAACCAGAUUGCCCAGGGCACACGGUUCAGCUGCACCAACAGCCAGUGCAGAGAAGUUACCAGAUGGAGAUACUGGGGUCCUAAGUCUGUAGCUGAUUACACAGCAUCCCAGAUACAAAAGUGGAGCCACCGGCCCGAGCCCGUGGAUAUCUUCCCCAUAGGACUGUACUACUCAUCUGUGGAGUCCUCCUCCUCCUCCUUAUUUUCUUUUUAGGUAAGUUCUGUUCUUUUUAUUAAAUCAUAAAAAUGAGCAUUGAUC